GAAAGUAAGCAAGGGCAGACGGUGGAUGCCUUGGCUCUCGGAGGCGACGAAGGACGUGAUAAGCUGCGAAAAGCCCGGGGGAGGCGCAAAUAGCCCUUGAUCCCGGGAUAUCCGAAUGGGGCAACCCGGCAGGCUGAAGGCCUGCCAUCCCGUAAGGGAGGCGAACGUGGGGAACUGAAACAUCUAAGUACCCAUAGGAGGAGAAAAUAAACAAUGAUUCCGUAAGUAGUGGCGAGCGAACACGGAAGAGCCCAAACCCAUGUCGUCUAGGCGACACGGGGGUUGUAGGACCACGACGUGGCAAGAUAGAGUCAAGUGGAACGCCUUGGAAAGGGCGACCGUAGAGGGUGAUAGUCCCGUACACGACUGACGAUUGAAGCCUAGUGGUAUCCUGAGUAGCGCGGGGCACGAGAAAUCUUGCGUGAAACAGCGGGGCCCAUCCCGUAAGGCUAAAUACUCCCGAGAGACCGAUAGCGAACCAGUACCGUGAGGGAAAGGUGAAAAGAACCCCGAGCAGGGGAGUGAAAUAGACCCUGAACCCGUCUGCCUACAAGCGGUCGGAGCAUCGUCAAGAUGUGACGGCGUGCCUUUUGCAUAAUGAACCUACGAGUUACCUUCCCCGGCAAGGUUAAGUACCUAAGGUACGGAGCCGAAGCGAAAGCGAGUCUGAAGAGGGCGGCCAGUCGGGGGGGGUAGACGCGAAACCGAGUGAUCUACCCUUGGCCAGGUUGAAGGUUGGGUAACACCAACUGGAGGACCGGAUGGGUAAGCGUUGAAAAGCUUUCCAAUGAGCUGAGGGUAGGGGUGAAAGGCUAAUCAAACUCGGAGAUAGCUCGUACUCCCCGAAAUGCAUUUAGGUGCAGCCUCUUUAUAGUAUAUCGUGAGGUAGAGCGACUGAUUGGAUGCGAGGGCUUCACCGCCUAUCAAGUCCAGAUAAACUCCGAAUGCGCGAUAUAUAUUUAAAGGGAGUGAGGGCGCGGGUGCUAAGGUCCGUGUCCGAGAGGAGAAGAAUCCAGACCACCGGCUAAGGCCCCCAAAUGAUCGUUAAGUUGAACUAACGAGGUCGGAUCGCAGAGACAGCUAGGAUGUUGGCUUGGAAGCAGCCAUUCAUUUAAAGAGUGCGUAACAGCUCACUAGUCGAGCGAUCUGGCGUGGAUAAUAAUCGGGCAUAAACGAUCUGCCGAAGCCGUGGAUGUCGUAAGACAUGGUAGGGGAGCAUUCCAUGCGGCGUCGAAGAUGAGGGAUGACCCUUGUUGGAGCGCAUGGAAAAGCAAAUGUAGGUAUGAGUAACGAUAAGGGGGGCGAGAAACCCCCCCGCCGAAAGACCAAGGUUUCCUGAUCAACGCUAAUCGGAUCAGGGUGAGUCGGGACCUAAGGCUAAGCCGAACGGCGCCGCCGAUGGAAGAAUGGGUUAAUAUUCCCAUACUGCCUCAUGGAGUGACGUGGAGACGGAGAAGUGACAGUCCUGCCGGCUGACGGAAUAGCCGGUUGAAGGGUGUAGAUAUUGAUUCCCGUAGGCAAAUCCGCGGGGAGAGUCGAACCUGACAGUAUACCGAGUACUUGUACGAGGUAAUAUGGACGUAACCAUGCUCCCAAGAAAAUCCGCUAAACUUAUCCAUGCGGCACCCGUACCGUAAACGGACACACGUGGUCGGGUUGAGAAUACUGAGGCGCUCGAGUGAUUCACGGUUAAGGAACUAGGCAAAUUGACCCUGUAACUUCGGGAUAAAGGGUCCUCGUCGUAAGGCGAGGCGCAGAGAAUAGGUCCAGGCAACUGUUUAACAAAAACACAUGGCUGUGCUAAAUGGAAACAUGAUGUAUACAGCCUGACACCUGCCCGGUGCUGGAAGGUUAAGAGGAGAUGUCAUCGCAAGAGAAGCGUUGAAUUGAAGCCCCAGUAAACGGCGGCCGUAACUAUAACGGUCCUAAGGUAGCGAAAUUCCUUGUC
This 1948-nucleotide ribosomal RNA is filed under the name human gut metagenome. RNAcentral's name for it is "bacterial LSU rRNA". It matches the Rfam family "Bacterial large subunit ribosomal RNA", at positions 1 to 1973 of the family's 2925-position model. The record is from RNAcentral.